GAGAAAUGAGGAUACAUAUUGUUUGUCUUACUGUUAUUGUGAAGACUUCAGAUCCAACUCUGAUCUCACUUUCUGG
Anolis carolinensis (green anole) is the source of this 76-nucleotide small nucleolar RNA. Ensembl annotates it as small nucleolar RNA, C/D box 19C. NCBI's taxonomy places the organism in Eukaryota, Metazoa, Chordata, Lepidosauria, Squamata, Anolidae. The record is from Ensembl.